GUCAACUUCAACGCCAAAACACAGGAGUGCUCAGAUUUCACUGGAAAUUUUACAAAAUUUCUUGUCUUUUGAACGAGUGUUCAUCAUUUAGAAGUCCUGAAAGCCAGCCAAAAACUCAUUUGUGCCAAGACUUGAGAGCAUGUCUGUGGUUGGACAAGCAGUUCUAUCUGCUUUCUUUCGAGUUUUGUUUAACAGAUUGGCUUCUCCUGAAUUGCUCAAG
This 220-nucleotide unclassified non-coding RNA is filed under the name Hevea brasiliensis (rubber tree). Lineage: Eukaryota; Viridiplantae; Streptophyta; Magnoliopsida; Malpighiales; Euphorbiaceae. The record is from RNAcentral.